GGCUGGGAACCCUUCUCAAAAUUGAUAGGUUAAAAUAAUUUUUAGGGCCUUCCUGCCUCCCUUUUGAGUUCUAGCUCUCAUUUUUUUUUCAUCUCUCUUGUCUUUUAGGAUGCCUUCUGACUGAGAAAUUUCCCCAGGCCUGAACCUAGAGUCUCAAGUCCCAGAAAUGACAGGAUUCUCUUCCAAGGCAGGGAAAUCACUCUUAGGAAUAAAUGUCAGGUAAGUUUCAUUAAUAUUCCUGGGCACUUGUGUUUUAAAUGAGAUGUAUGUUAACCCAAAUGAAGCCUGAUGGAAGUUAGUUUAUAAAGAAAUGUCCUUCUUUCCCUUUUUUCUUCCCCUUUGCCCAGCCUAGUAUAUCUGGCCCUUCCAAGGAUCCACCCCUGAGGGAAAAGGUGUAGUGGUCCAGCGUCCUCCAUAGAUCCAAAAGCCAGUAGUCUCUGCAGAGAGGACUCAGCAUAGAUGACUCAAGUAAAUGGACAAUGUCCCAUGGGGAGCCUGUCCUUUAUCCCUUAUGAGUUUCUUCCCACUGGGGCCUGGGUCACAUCUUUUGGCCUGGUGGAUUGAUAAAACACCUUGAGGGUGGGAGGCUGGCUGGAAGAUAUGGAAGCCCUGUCUUUGACCACUGGUGUCAAGCAGAGGUGGGAAGAGAGGAGAGGAGCCACUGUGCUUUGUUCCAACAUUCCACCCACCAGAAGUAGGGGAGAAGACGAUGUAAGUUCGCUUGAUCUCCUGUCUCAGACUGCUGUGCCCACUAUCCAACAGUGACCCCUGCAGCACGGGCAGGACCUCCAGCAGCACAGACUGGAGGCUGGCUGCCCGGCAGAGCUGCAAUGCCACCACCAAGAAAGAGGUGACUGUGGUUGUGGGUAUCAUCCCUGUGCCUCUGCUUGCUUGGGGGCAGUCUGAGUCAAUGUGCCUGGGGCGCGUGGGGCCAGCCGUGCCUUGGGCUGCGGUCUGGCAGGGGCGGGGGGCGGCUGGAAAGCCUGGGGCCCCUCUCUGGCAAAAAUAGCCCACAGUGGUUAGAGCUUCAAGGGUGAGUCAGGCGGGAGCACGGUGGCGCCUAACCCCUUCGCUGCCACUGGAUCUUCCUAAGGCGGUUUGCCUUUGCCUAUGCACCCCGAGACCAGGCUCUUUCCCGGCUGCCCUUAGGCUUGGCUCAAUUUUGGAUCCCAAGGCCCUCCUUAUCCCACAAGAAGCAAGUCUACAGCUUGGAGCAGGAAUCCAGGCCACCCAAAGUGCAGACCGGGGGAAUCCCAAGAAGGGUAGAAUACCUCUGUUGGCAAGCAUCCCUGCCAGGCAAGGAAGCAUCGCGGCAGGCUGAUGAUCUUUGGUGCUACCUGAACCUCUGCUAGGGCCAAACUCUGAGGCCAAAGCUGACCCCUCCAAAGGGGCAGGCGCAGGGCUUGGAGGUGGGUGGGAAACAAGCUGCCCAGACCUGUGCUUCUCCUGCCUGCUCUGAGUACCCCAGGUGCGCUCAGGCUGUGGGUGUGACUGUCCCACACGGAGAAGCCCAAAGACUGUCCAGCUCCAUCCUCAUCUUGUCAAAGGCACUUUCCAGCCACCCUGAUCUUGGUGGAGAAACUGACUCAAAGAGAAGUGAUGAAAGAUGUGGCCACUUUGGUCCCGUUUCUGGCUCCCUAGGAAGGUUACUACACCCUCCCUGCAG
Piliocolobus tephrosceles (Ugandan red Colobus) is the source of this 1666-nucleotide long non-coding RNA. The record is from Ensembl. Lineage: Eukaryota; Metazoa; Chordata; Mammalia; Primates; Cercopithecidae.